This 106-nucleotide small nucleolar RNA is filed under the name Olea europaea subsp. europaea. RNAcentral describes it as "Plant small nucleolar RNA R71". It matches the Rfam family "Plant small nucleolar RNA R71". From Rfam's summary of the family: R71 is a member of the C/D box family of snoRNAs containing the C (UGAUGA) and D (CUGA) box motifs. The record is from Rfam by way of RNAcentral. Lineage: Eukaryota; Viridiplantae; Streptophyta; Magnoliopsida; Lamiales; Oleaceae.
AUUUUAUAGUUUGGGCAUUUUUUGAACAUAUCCUUGAACAUCUUCCUUCCUUCAUAAAAACAUUCAAAAUUUGCUUCUAGAAUAUUGAGAUCUCAUACUUCAGUUU